This 451-nucleotide ribosomal RNA is filed under the name uncultured bacterium. RNAcentral's name for it is "bacterial SSU rRNA". It matches the Rfam family "Bacterial small subunit ribosomal RNA", at positions 29 to 524 of the family's 1533-position model. The record is from RNAcentral.
AACGAACGCUGGCGGCAUGCCUAACACAUGCAAGUCGAACGAGACCUUCGGGUCUAGUGGCGCACGGGUGCGUAACGCGUGGGAACCUGCCUUUAGGUUCGGAAUAACUCAGAGAAAUUUGAGCUAAUACCGGAUAAUGUCUUCGGACCAAAGAUUUAUCGCCUUUAGAUGGGCCCGCGUAAGAUUAGCUAGUUGGUGGGGUAAAGGCCUACCAAGGCGACGAUCUUUAGCUGGUCUGAGAGGAUGAUCAGCCACACUGGGACUGAGACACGGCCCAGACUCCUACGGGAGGCAGCAGUGGGGAAUAUUGGACAAUGGGCGAAAGCCUGAUCCAGCAAUGCCGCGUGAGUGAUGAAGGCCUUAGGGUUGUAAAAGCUCUUUUACCCGAGAUGAUAAUGACAGUACCGGGAGAAUAAGCUCCGGCUAACUCCGUGCCAGCAGCCGCGGUAAU